CAGUAGCCGCGGGUAAUACGUAGGGUGCAAGCGUUAAUCGGAAUUACUGGGCGUAAAGCGUGCGCAGGCGGUUUGUUAAGACAGAUGUGAAAUCCCCGGGCUCAACCUGGGAACUGCAUUUGUGACUGGCAGGCUAGAGUAUGGCAGAGGGGGGUGGAAUUCCGCGUGUAGCAGUGAAAUGCGUAGAUAUGCGGAGGAACACCGAUGGCGAAGGCAGCCCCCUGGGCCAAUACUGACGCUCAUGCACGAAAGCGUGGGGAGCAAACAGGAUUAGAUACCCCCGUAGUCCCUGUCUCUUAUU
RNAcentral lists this ribosomal RNA (301 nucleotides) under uncultured bacterium. Its description in RNAcentral is "partial 16S ribosomal RNA". It matches the Rfam family "Bacterial small subunit ribosomal RNA", at positions 509 to 808 of the family's 1533-position model. The record is from RNAcentral.